This is a non-coding RNA of Rhodocyclales bacterium, 94 nucleotides long. Lineage: Bacteria; Pseudomonadati; Pseudomonadota; Betaproteobacteria; Rhodocyclales. The record is from Rfam.
CGCGGCGGGAAGGGAUUCUCGUCGUGACCGGACAGAAGUCAGCAGAGGUCAUAGUAGUUGCCUCCCUUCUCACGAGGAAGGCGCAGCGAAGGGC